GCUUGACCUUUCCCAAAUUUCCCCACCUACCUCCCGAGCCCAAACCCCUCUAUUCGCACCUCCGUCCUCCCCGCGGUUUCUAGAUGACUCGAGAAGCGAUGCGGAAGAAGGCGAAGGCCGUGCCGGAGUGGCUGAACAGCCCGCUCUGGUCGACCCCGCCGCUCGCCUCGACCCUCGCCGACCCCUUCGGCACCGACUUCUCCCCGCCGCCUGCCCCGUCCCCCGAGCCGUCUCCUUCCGUUCCGCCGCCACCGAUGCGCGAGCAGGCGGUCGAUUCCCAUGCUGGCCGCGAGGGAGAGACACGAGAAGAGGACAGCGCCGGCGCUGCUCUCCGGGCGCACUUGCUUGCCGACUUCAAGGCCGCGCUGUCUAAGAAGGUGGUGAACAUGGGGGAGCUGCGGAGACUCGCUUGCCUUGGCGUGCCAGAUGGCGGCGGCACGGACGUACGACCGCUCGUGUGGAAGCUUCUCUUGGGGUAUUUGCCAACUGAACGCUCUUUAUGGCCUUAUGAACUAGAAAAGAAGCGAAGCCAGUACAGUGCAUAUAAAGAUGAGUUUCUUCUAAAUCCUUCAGAAAAAUUAUGUAGAAUCGAGGAAUCAAAGCUGUCAAGAAAGAAAGAAUUAACUGGUGAAAGGAAUGGCUUGCUCCCAAGGUCAGAAGUAACUAAUGAAGAGCAUCCUUUGAGCUUUGGUAAAUCUAGCUUGUGGAACCAAUACUUCCAGGAAUCAGAGAUCCUGGAGCAGAUAGACCGAGAUGUGAAGCGAACACAUCCAGACAAGUCGUUUUUUUCUGCCAAGUCUAACCAGGAAUCACUAAGGCGUAUUCUCAUUAUAUUUUCAAGAUUAUACCCUAGUGUAAGAUAUGUGCAAGGGUUGAAUGAAGUUUUGGCACCUCUAUUUUACGUAUUGAAGAACGACCUUGACACAAGUAACUCGACUUCAGCUGAAGCAGACACUUUCUUUUGCUUUGUUGAAUUGAUUAGUGGCUUUAAAAACAACUAUUGUAAACAUCUUGACAACAGCCGGGUGGGUAUUCGGGCUACACUUUCAAAGUUAUCUCAACUCUUAAAGAAACAUGACGAAGAGCUAUGGCGUCAUAUGGAGGUCAUUACAAAGGUGUACCCGCAAUACUAUGCAUUUAGAUGGAUUACAUUACUGUUGACAAUGGAGUUCAGCUUCAAUGUGUGUAUUCACAUCUGGGAUGCCAUGUUGGGCGAUCCCGAAGGUUCUCCGGACACCUUGCUGAGGAUAUGCUGUGCUAUGCUCAUCCUUGUCCGGAAGCGGCUCCUGGUUGGAGAUUUCACCGCCAAUAUCCAGCUGCUGCAGCACUACCCGCAAACUAACAUAGAUCACCUCCUCCACAUCGCUAACAGAUUGAGAGGAACCAUGCCCAGCUAGUGAUUGGGAUGCCAUCUUGUCGGUGUGGUGUUCAUCCGGGCACUACUACAUGUAUGUACAUUGACCCUGUCCAUGAGGUGUAUCAUGACAUCAUUGCCAAGUUUCAUCUUCUCUUCAUUUAUGUUCACUUUAAAUUCAAAAACUGAAAACUCCGAGUACGUACGUAUUUGAGUUUUCUGUGUGUGUUUACAGAGUUAUGUGGUGGGGGCACUAGAUUUUGUUUACUAAAUAUAAUGGCAAGAAAAAAGCACAGGAGUGGUGGGCCCUACAAGAUAUGCGCCACUAGUAACUAU
Molecule: ribosomal RNA, 1690 nt
Filed under: Triticum aestivum (bread wheat)
Lineage: Eukaryota; Viridiplantae; Streptophyta; Magnoliopsida; Poales; Poaceae
Description: partial small subunit ribosomal RNA
Source: RNAcentral